GAUUGAAAUUUGACUUGAGCUCAAAUGAUCUGAGCUGGAUAAUUUGUUUUAUGUAUCAGCUUGAUAUAGCCCACAUUAUAAAUGUGCCGAUAAAUAUACUUUUUGUGGUAUGUAGAUAGAUAGAUGUUGCUCUUGAUCUCCGUGCCUAAGAUCGGACAGCCGAGGUGAAUAUGGCUAAAGUAACACUAUUGCUGGAGCUUCGUUCGAGUACCUACAAAAAGUCCUCAUCGGAGUAUUCUUCGGUGAAGAUCUUCUGACACUCAAAUCAGGAGAUGGAGAACAAUGAGAAGAGAGAGUGGUAUUGUGAAACUUACUUUGAGGAUCUAUGUGCCCCUUAUUUAUAGGAGAGAAAUCGAAGUCGUAUACAUCUCGGAGUCUUGAUUGUUCUUCGGAUUUGAUAUGCAGAUUGGUUUAGAGAGAAUUCUUUUCUUUGUGGGAGGCUCGAUCGCGGAGGAAUCUUUCUUUAUCUAGACUUUUUCAAUUUAGCAGAGAGAUGAAUUCUGUAAUAUUGGAAGAACAUAGCUCGAACAUGGAUGACCUUAAAUAGCUCGUCCGCAGUCGAGAUGAGGUCCUCGAUAAGGAUUGAGGACAGUCGCUAUCAGCUCGAUAUGGUGUGUUCAGCAAUCUUUGGGUCUAUUGCAUAUACGUGAUCUGGCUAGUUCCCAUCUUCCAUAGUUUGGCCGGCACCGAAGAUGCAUCUAGCCGAAGCCGAGGUAGAGAUCCACAACAAUAGAUAUAUUAAAUAGUAAUAUUUUUUAUUAGAAAAUAAUUCAAAUCUUUCUGGUGUUUAAUUGGAAGGAUCGUCGGAUUUUCUUCUAUCAGAGCCGCCAGACCAAGGUAGCUGCUCCUCCCUUCUUUUCUCUUUCCUUUUUUGUUGCCCGCAUCGCCGUCAUGCGGUGUUGAAC
This 905-nucleotide long non-coding RNA is filed under the name Elaeis guineensis (African oil palm). Its description in RNAcentral is "long non-coding RNA (EGUI_LNC024717)". The record is from RNAcentral. Lineage: Eukaryota; Viridiplantae; Streptophyta; Magnoliopsida; Arecales; Arecaceae.